UCAUGUUAUUCUUAUUUUUAUGAAAUUUGAAGUUUAUGCUGGCACAUUUCCUAAUUUAAAUGAGGUUGACUGAAAUUCCUUUAAUAACAUUUUUCAUUUAUGCAGGAAUCUGAUCUGUGUUUAUUCGAAAAAGCAUAUGCUUGAUGAUCCAGAACUUAUGGAGAUCAAAAGAAAAGCAAAUACACCAAGUCUGAAGGAAAUGGUUACGCUUUUAAGGAGUGCAUCACAAAUAAUUUGGAUUGACCAGUUUCCAACUCUGUGGAUUGGGAAUUGCUCUUGUUGUUGAAGAUGGAAAUAUGACAUCUUUACCCUAUUUA
Long non-coding RNA from Trifolium pratense (red clover), 317 nucleotides. RefSeq lists it as uncharacterized. NCBI's taxonomy places the organism in Eukaryota, Viridiplantae, Streptophyta, Magnoliopsida, Fabales, Fabaceae. The record is from RefSeq and is a predicted model, not a curated record. The transcript has 3 exons.